Molecule: long non-coding RNA, 505 nt
Filed under: Anser brachyrhynchus (Pink-footed goose)
Lineage: Eukaryota; Metazoa; Chordata; Aves; Anseriformes; Anatidae
Description: lncRNA (ENSABRG00000004779.1)
Source: RNAcentral
CAAGCAUCUUCAAAGUGUCUCCUUACAGUCAGUAACAGACCCUUCCCAGACAAAUACAGCUGGAUGUUUUGAAAUCCAGCAUGAUGAACUGUGGAAAAAAAAUAAUAAAUAAACAAACAUUGUGAACUGCAUAUUCAAGGCAGUAUCUUUGUCCUCUGAAACAUGAGCUGUUUAUACUGCAAUGACUGUAGCAAAAUGUGCAGUCCUUGGUGGAUGGCUGAAUGUUGAAUGAUGAUCAUUACACAAAGAGAUUUUAAUUCUCAGCCUGCUGGAGCUGAGGUGAGGGUGAAGGAUGGCAGAAGUGCUCCAGCAUGCAGGUAACCUCUCACUGAGCAGCACCUGAGGCAACACUGGAACAAUUCUGUCAACCACCGAUGAAUUUUAGAAAGUUACAUGAUCAUACCUGCACUGUUUAAAGUUCUCCUGCGUGAUCUGGAACAAGAAAACAUCACAAAUAUCAGCACAGUAUAAUAAAUACCAAAAUAAAUGUGAAUACUAAAAGUCA